RNAcentral lists this long non-coding RNA (705 nucleotides) under Homo sapiens (human). Its description in RNAcentral is "HSALNT0037322". The record is from RNAcentral. Lineage: Eukaryota; Metazoa; Chordata; Mammalia; Primates; Hominidae.
CUGUGGAGAGACAGGCAAGAUAAGCACAAACACAGGCUGCGCACAUCACCAUUUCCUUCACCACAUUGCAAUUGAGCACUUCCUCCUGGACUCUACCUGCUCCUUUCUCCACCUUCCCUGUGUCCAGGCCUUUUGGAGGCAGGUGAUUCUCCAUCUAUGCGUAAGAACAGUGUCCUUGGGAGAAACCUCUCCUGAGGCUGGCCCAGCUCGGAGUUCCUACAGGUCUGUGUCUUGCUGUUAUUUUGUAGGUGUUUAUCUUGGUGCUGUCUGUGUUAGCAAGUGAGCAUUCAGCACAUUUGAGCCCACUCGCUUCGCUCUGAAAUAGCCUGCACAGAGUCUUCGUGCCGCACCCUCUCUGGAGCAGCUCCACUUCUGUGUUUUCAAUUGGACUCUCCAGUUCUGCCAUGCAAAAGCUCCAACUCAAUGGACAGCAGCCUCAGUGGAUGGUUUCCAUGCAUACAUCCAGGAAAAUGGGAAAGUUUAAUUGCAUAAAUUAUACGAGAAAGUGAUCUUCCCAUGGCUACUGAGCGAAUAUAUGUUAGCAUGUCAUUGAUGCUAUGCUAAAUCCUAAUGGUUCAUACCGACAUUAAACCCAAGAAUGUUUCUCAGGUGAGAAAGCUGCAGUUGUAUGCAAUAUGCCUACCUUCCUCUUGUGGGAUGCAAAGGAAAACACAUGCAUGCACAGGCAAAUGUUCUUAAACACAC